Trichonephila clavipes is the source of this 73-nucleotide non-coding RNA. NCBI's taxonomy places the organism in Eukaryota, Metazoa, Arthropoda, Arachnida, Araneae, Nephilidae. The record is from the annotation of a GenBank genome assembly.
GUCCUUGUAGCUCAAGGGAUAGAGCGUUUGACUUCAAAUCGAAAGAUCGUGGAUUCAAAUCCCACCUGGGAUG